Molecule: unclassified non-coding RNA, 178 nt
Filed under: uncultured fungus
Lineage: Eukaryota; Fungi
Description: sequence contains ITS1, 5.8S rRNA gene
Source: RNAcentral
UUGGAUUCUAAACCUGCAAAGGCUGAUGCGGUCGUCUUAGACUUCCAGCACGCCUGCGCAACAUUCUCACACCCUUGUGCAUUUUAUGACGGUCCGAGUCCUGCGUAAGCUCGAGUCGGACUGACACUUUACACCCCGAUGAAUUAAACCCAUCGAAUAAAACUUUUAAAAUUUAAAA